This 201-nucleotide ribosomal RNA is filed under the name uncultured Geobacter sp. Its description in RNAcentral is "partial 16S ribosomal RNA". It matches the Rfam family "Bacterial small subunit ribosomal RNA", at positions 1182 to 1382 of the family's 1533-position model. Lineage: Bacteria; Pseudomonadati; Thermodesulfobacteriota; Desulfuromonadia; Geobacterales; Geobacteraceae. The record is from RNAcentral.
ACGUCAAGUCCUCAUGGCCCUUAUGACCAGGGCUACACACGUGCUACAAUGGCCGGUACAAAGAGUUGCGAUACCGCGAGGUGGAGCUAAUCUCAUAAAGCCGGUCUCAGUUCGGAUUGCAGGCUGCAACUCGCCUGCAUGAAGCCGGAAUCGCUAGUAAUCGCGGAUCAGCAUGCCGCGGUGAAUACGUUCCCGGGCCUU